CUGCGGCCUAUCAGCUUGUUGGUGAGGUAAUGGCCCACCAAGGCGAUUACAGGUACGGGCUCUGAGAGGAGAAGCCCGGAGAUGGGUACUGAGACAAGGACCCAGGCCCUAUGGGGCGCAGCAGGCGAGAAAACUUUGCAAUGUGCGAAAGCACGACAAGGUUAGUCCGAGUGAUUUCUGCUAAAGAGAUCUUUUGCCAGUUAUAAAACCACUAGUGAAUAAGGGGUGGGCAAGUUCUGGUGUCAGCCGCCGCGGUAAAACCAGCACCUCAAGUGGUCAGGAUGAUUAUUGGGCCUAAAGCAUCCGUAGCCUGCUCUGUAAGUUUUCGGUUAAAUCUAUACGCUCAACGUAUGGGCUGCCGAAAAUACUGUAGAGAUAGGGAGUGGGAGAGGUAGACGGUACUCAGUAGGAAGGGGUAAAAUCCUUUGAUCUAUUGAUGACCACCUGUGGCGAAGGCGGUCUACCAGAACACGU
This 474-nucleotide ribosomal RNA is filed under the name uncultured Nitrososphaerota archaeon. RNAcentral's name for it is "bacterial SSU rRNA". It matches the Rfam family "Archaeal small subunit ribosomal RNA", at positions 215 to 690 of the family's 1478-position model. The record is from RNAcentral. Lineage: Archaea; Thermoproteati; Nitrososphaerota.